Cephalotus follicularis is the source of this 101-nucleotide ribosomal RNA. The record is from Rfam. Lineage: Eukaryota; Viridiplantae; Streptophyta; Magnoliopsida; Oxalidales; Cephalotaceae.
GGGUGCGAUCGUACCAGCACUAAUGCACCGGAUCCCAUCGGAACUCUGAAGUUAAGCGUGGUUGGCGAGAAUGGUACUAAAAACGAGCUUUGUUGCAGGAU